UUUAAAAAAUUUGGCGGUAUUUUAGUCUUAUUAGAGGAAUCUGUUUAUUAAUUGAUAAUCCACGAUUAAUUUUACUUAUUUUAUUUAAUUCAUAUAUCGCUGUCAUGAAUAUAUUUAAAAAUUUAUUUUCUUUAAUUAUUUUAAUAAUUUAUGUUAAGUCAAGAUGUGGUUUAUAAAUAAGAAUAUAAUGGGUUACAUUAAAUUUUAUUUUUGGAUUUAAAAUGAAAAUUAAAAUGAAAUUGGAUUUAAUAGUAAGUUUAAUUAAUUUAUUAGUAUGAAUAAAGAUCUAAAUU
RNAcentral lists this ribosomal RNA (293 nucleotides) under Hyalopterus pruni. RNAcentral describes it as "partial 12S ribosomal RNA". The record is from RNAcentral. Lineage: Eukaryota; Metazoa; Arthropoda; Insecta; Hemiptera; Aphididae.